CCUACGGGUGGCAGCAGUGAGGAAUAUUGGUCAAUGGGCGCGAGCCUGAACCAGCCAAGUCGCGUGAGGGAGGACGGCCCUACGGGUUGUAAACCUCUUUUGCCGGGGAGCAACGGGCGUCACGUGUGGCGCCCCUGAGAGUACCCGGAGAAAAAGCAUCGGCUAACUCCGUGCCAGCAGCCGCGGUAAUACGGAGGAUGCGAGCGUUAUCCGGAUUUAUUGGGUUUAAAGGGUGCGUAGGCGGGCUUUUAAGUCAGCGGUAAAAAUUCGGGGCUCAACCCCGUCCGGCCGUUGAAACUGGGGGCCUUGAGUGGGCGAGAAGAAGGCGGAAUGCGUGGUGUAGCGGUGAAAUGCAUAGAUAUCACGCAGAACCCCGAUUGCGAAGGCAGCCUUCCGGCGCCCUACUGACGCUGAGGCACGAAAGUGCGGGGAUCGAACAGGAUUAGAUACCCUUGUAGUC
Molecule: ribosomal RNA, 460 nt
Filed under: uncultured bacterium
Lineage: Bacteria
Description: partial 16S ribosomal RNA
Rfam family: Bacterial small subunit ribosomal RNA
Source: RNAcentral